CGGGGCGUAGCGCAGUCUGGUAGCGUACUUGCAUGGGGUGCAAGUGGUCGUCGGUUCAAAUCCGGCCGUCCCGACCA
RNAcentral lists this transfer RNA (77 nucleotides) under Gammaproteobacteria bacterium RBG_16_37_9. Its description in RNAcentral is "tRNA-Pro". It matches the Rfam family "tRNA". From Rfam's summary of the family: Transfer RNA (tRNA) molecules are approximately 80 nucleotides in length. Their secondary structure includes four short double-helical elements and three loops (D, anti-codon, and T loops). Further hydrogen bonds mediate the characteristic L-shaped molecular structure. tRNAs have two regions of fundamental functional importance: the anti-codon, which is responsible for specific mRNA codon recognition, and the 3' end, to which the tRNAs corresponding amino acid is attached (by aminoacyl-tRNA synthetases). tRNAs cope with the degeneracy of the genetic code in two manners: having more than one tRNA (with a specific anti-codon) for a particular amino acid; and 'wobble' base-pairing, i.e. permitting non-standard base-pairing at the 3rd anti-codon position. Lineage: Bacteria; Pseudomonadati; Pseudomonadota; Gammaproteobacteria. The record is from RNAcentral. RNAcentral also lists the same sequence under 1 other name.